UCCGAACCGCGGCGCCGGCCGCAGUCGAGGAGACUCCGCCCCCGCCGCCGGCAGCCGCGCGGGCCGCUCGCUCGCUCGCUCGUCCGUCCUGGGCCGGUCCCUUGAACGGCCAGCCAGUCGCGUUGGAGAGUGCGUGUGCGUUUGGAGAGGCCAAGACCGGUCCUGGAGGAGAGAGAGGGACUCAGGAAGACGACGGUGGACGCUCGGAUGUGAUCGGAGAGGGUGUCCAUGGUCAUUGAUCGGGAAUAGCCAGACGAGGAAGACGCCAGUGAGAGUGGAAUAGGAGUGGUAGAGAUCAUUGGACAUCAGGACUGGUGUAUUUGGAUGGACUGAGUGUUUGGGUGGACUGGCGAACGGAAGAGGAGCUACAGAACAAGAAGUGACGAGCCGAGUGAGGGGCUCGGCGCGUCAAGAUGCAGACACAAGAGGAGGUGAUUGGCCGGAUUGCCGAGCUGCAGACGGCAGUGACGGAGAUGAAGACGGCCUUCACGUCAGCGAUACGUCAGCUGACGUCAGCGCCGUCAGCGGCCGACCUGACGCUGAUCGAGCACGACGUCACUGCCAUCACCGCCGUCAGAGAUAUCAAGUCGGAGCUGGUUGCCAUGACAACGUCGCUGCAGCAGCUGGAGCAGGGCCAGCAGUCGACUCGGCGGCAGCUGCAGCAGCUGCUCGACGAACGAGACCUGCUGCUGGACGAGCUGUGCAAAACGGGCAGCGUCUCCAUGGAAACCAGGCAGCAGCUGCAUCAGCCGGGUCUUCAGUUUCCUUCGCGAACCUCGAGCGGUUGCCAUAGCAACGACUCGGGACUGGGUCAGACUGUGGACAAAUCGGUCUGGUCCGCACCGUCGGACCAGGAGACCGGCUCGCUGGGAGAUGGUCCCCUGGUCUCUACCAUGGUCCAGGAGUACGUCAACGGGCUCAGUGGAGGUGGCGACAGCUACGACUCCGAUUCGUCACUGUCCGUAGCCGUGACAAAGUCGUUCGCCCUGAGCACCUGUCUCUCGAAACAGUGCGGCCUGGAGCUGGAUGACGUCAGCGAAUCGGAAACGGCUCAGACUCUAAGCUCCGGCGACGCGGAGGAGUCGGAGCGGGUGAAGGUGGUCAGGGAACUGGCAGAGACGGAGCGUCGCUACUGCGGCACCCUGUGGACCAUACAGGACACGUUUGCCGAGCCGCUGGCGGCUGCACAGGUGGUCACCCAGGAUGAGCUCAGCACUCUGUUCCCUACCGAGUGUGCUCGACUGUACGAGAAGCACUGCCGUCUGCUACACUCACUGGAGGAGCGUCUGGACUCGUGGCCGUGGCAGAGUGGAGUCGGCGACCUUAUCUGCAGGUUUAUCGUUCACGGCGACUCGGAGGUCCUUCGCCUGUACACCUCGUACGUCAACGGCUUCCCCCAGCUGCUCAGCACGUUCUACCGGCUCUGCAGGACGUCGGCAGACUUCCUGCAAUUCCUCAAGGCUCGCCAGCACCACCCGGGCUGCGCGGGACUCGACCUCUCCGCCCUACUGCUCUCCCCCGUGCAGCGGGUGCCUCGCUACGUGCUACUACUACAACAGCUGCUACGUCGCACCCCGGCUCAGCACAGCGACCACGCGCCUCUGCAGAGGGCGCUACUGCAGCUGAGACAGUUCCUGGCCAGGCUGAACGACUCGAUGGAGCAGAGCUUUCAGAUGGUGCACCGCGGAGCCGGCCAGUGGGAUAGGGUACCGAAGUCCGCUUCAGUCGCCACUCUCUCUGUCGGUGACCCCGAGACCUCGUGGAGCCCGUCUCGCCGGUCCGCCGAGCCUGCCAUCUCGCGGCGGCGCGCCAAACUAGGGUCGGGCAGCGGUCUGACUCGUCCGAUCACCACCAUCUGCCGGGCAGCCUCCUCCAGCGGUAGUGACACGUUGGAGCGGGCAGAUAGGGGCGCCACCUGCACCAGGAAGGCGCGCAGGACGGCCUCAGAGUACAAGCCGUUCGACUGCAAGUCCCUGCCUCACAUGAAGCAGCGCCGGCGCGCUCAGCUGUCCAGUCAGCUGACUGCGGCCCGCUCAGAGACGAACCUGCGCGAGCGUCCGCUCUCGGUGUUCGACCCUCCCGCUGCACGGUCCGCUGCCAACCUGGCAGAGCCAUCUACCGGCGGCGCGAGGAGGCUCGAGUUUGAGGACAUCCCGCUGGAUACUCCAACCGACCGAGAUGAGCCGAGCUCACGGAAAUUGGGCAGCGAGGAGCCGAAAACGCCAACGAAGAAGUCAUCGAAGACUGACAGUCAGACGCUGCCCCGCGGCCGGAGGAUGGUUGUCAGCCGACUGGAGAGGGCCGUCACCCCCGAAACUCCGCGGCCGCCCAGCGCCGAGCGGGCGCGGAAGGUGUCACUCAGGUCGCUCAAGAACAUGUUCAGUCUCAAGAAAAGGAGCUCCCGUUCGGGAACUCUGGACAUCAGUGCCAGCUCCAAGGACCUGGCAGAUGCUACCAGCUCCGACCAGUACACGCCCUUACCUGAGCCCAGCCCAGAGGGCGCCACUGAGAGCGCUCGCAGCGCCGCCUAGGGCAGCUGCCGCAAACGCUGACCUUUGGGUGGGUGCAGCUCGCAGGGAGGCUGCUGUUUCUUGCCAGGCCUGGCGAAUCGUUCGAAAGAGAACAUCUCUGGCCCGAGGAACCUGAGACACUGUCUAAGAGGUGUAGACUGCAGCCGUUUCUGACUGCCGUAGUAUGCACCCAAACGCCCAUUAAACAGGGCGUUCUGGGGCCUAUUUAUAGACUGCACUGUGUUUUGUAGCUCAUUCAGCUAGUGGACAGAUUAUUAAACAUCUCAGUGCACUUGUGUUCAGUCUCCCGUCGCAGCUCGAUCUCUGCAAUGCAAGGAUCGGGAAGUGAAGAUGACUGUGUCGGUUUGCCAGGGAUUGAUUGUUGCCGGGGCGGGGGCGAGCUGCUGAGUUUAAGAAUUUCAAAUAAGAACGUGUGAAAAGUGCAAGGUAUAUGCGGGAGUAUGUUUUAUGCGAAUUUUAUCGUAUUGUUGCGCUUGAUUUGGUUGAAUUUUAUGAUGCAGUUUAGCGAGAUGUCAGACUGUAUUCAAGCGUUUGACUGUCGUGAGCAUGUAUUGCGCAUCGCUUGUGUUUUAUGCGCGCAGGUGUUAAUUGAUGGAUUGAAUGUUUGAGCAAUACGCGAAAUACAUUAUUCGAUUUUUAAC
RNAcentral lists this unclassified non-coding RNA (3172 nucleotides) under Amphibalanus amphitrite. Its description in RNAcentral is "uncharacterized LOC122367575, transcript variant X2". Lineage: Eukaryota; Metazoa; Arthropoda; Thecostraca; Balanomorpha; Balanidae. The record is from RNAcentral.